UGGGGAAUAUUGCACAAUGGGCGCAAGCCUGAUGCAGCCAUGCCGCGUGUGUGAAGAAGGCCUUCGGGUUGUAAAGCACUUUCAGCGAGGAGGAAGGGUGGUGUGUUAAUAGCACAUUGCAUUGACGUUACUCGCAGAAGAAGCACCGGCUAACUCCGUGCCAGCAGCCGCGGUAAUACGGAGGGUGCAAGCGUUAAUCGGAAUUACUGGGCGUAAAGCGCACGCAGGCGGUUUGUUAAGUCAGAUGUGAAAUCCCCGCGCUUAACGUGGGAACUGCAUUUGAAACUGGCAAGCUAGAGGCUUGUAGAGGGGGGUAGAAUUCCAGGUGUAGCGGUGAAAUGCGUAGAGAUCUGGAGGAAUACCGGUGGCGAAGGCGGCCCCCUGGACAAAGACUGACGCUCAGGUGCGAAAGCGUGGGGAGCAAACA
RNAcentral lists this ribosomal RNA (427 nucleotides) under uncultured bacterium. RNAcentral's name for it is "partial 16S ribosomal RNA". It matches the Rfam family "Bacterial small subunit ribosomal RNA", at positions 355 to 774 of the family's 1533-position model. The record is from RNAcentral.